This 492-nucleotide ribosomal RNA is filed under the name uncultured bacterium. Its description in RNAcentral is "partial 16S ribosomal RNA". It matches the Rfam family "Bacterial small subunit ribosomal RNA", at positions 29 to 507 of the family's 1533-position model. The record is from RNAcentral.
AGUGAACGCUGGCGGUAGGCCUAACACAUGCAAGUCGAACGGCAGCACAGUAAGAGCUUGCUCUUACGGGUGGCGAGUGGCGGACGGGUGAGGAAUACAUCGGAAUCUACUUUUUCGUGGGGGAUAACGUAGGGAAACUUACGCUAAUACCGCAUACGACCUACGGGUGAAAGCAGGGGAUCUUCGGACCUUGCGCGAUUGAAUGAGCCGAUGUCGGAUUAGCUAGUUGGCGGGGUAAAGGCCCACCAAGGCGACGAUCCGUAGCUGGUCUGAGAGGAUGAUCAGCCACACUAGAACUGAGACACGGUCCAGACUCCUACGGGAGGCAGCAGUGGGGAAUAUUGGACAAUGGGCGCAAGCCUGAUCCAGCCAUACCGCGUGGGUGAAGAAGGCCUUCGGGUUGUAAAGCCCUUUUGUUGGGAAAGAAAAGCAGCAGGUUAAUACCCCGCUGUUCUGACGGUACCCAAAGAAUGAGCACCGGCUAACUUCGUG